AUGACCGUGACGCUCGAGGAUGUCUCCUUGAUCACCGGUGUUGCUAUCAACGGGAGGCCUCUCUGUAUGAGCACCAAUUCUGAAGGGUGGUGCCAGAAGAUGACUGCUCUUAUCGGUAUGGCUCCUACCGAGGAUGGAGAACAGGAGAAGAAGAAGAAGGAAAGGAAAGCAGUCGGAGCUGCUUUCACGUGGAUUCAAAAACACUUUGCCCAUUGCCCCGCGGAUGCCAUUGAUGAUGUGAUCCAGACACACGCUCGCGUCUAUAUGUGGUACAUUGUCUCGAGGAUUUUGUUUCCUGACUCCAUGGGCAAGAACGUUCCAUGGAUGUGGCUGAAGGCAUUGACCGUCUUCGAUAGCAGAUGGAGCUGGGGUUCGGCGACUCUUUCCUACUUGUACCAACAGGUAGUUGGUUUGUUUUGUUAUCAACUCAUUUCUUCAUUAACAAUGCAACCUUGCUGUCAAGUUAACAUUGUUUUCUUUCAUAUGUAG
RNAcentral lists this ribosomal RNA (489 nucleotides) under Triticum aestivum (bread wheat). Its description in RNAcentral is "partial small subunit ribosomal RNA". The record is from RNAcentral. Lineage: Eukaryota; Viridiplantae; Streptophyta; Magnoliopsida; Poales; Poaceae.